CGAACGGGUGAGUAAUGCGUGACCAACCUGCCCCAUGCUCCAGAAUAGCUCUUGGAAACGGGUGGUAAUGCUGGAUGCUCCAACUUGACGCAUGUCUUGUUGGGAAAGUGUUUAGUGGCAUGGGAUGGGGUCGCGUCCUAUCAGCUUGUAGGCGGGGUAAUGGCCCACCUAGGCUUCGACGGGUAGCCGGCCUGAGAGGGCGGACGGCCACAUUGGGACUGAGAAACGGUCCAAACUCCUACGGGAGGCAGCAGCA
This 256-nucleotide ribosomal RNA is filed under the name uncultured Gardnerella sp. RNAcentral's name for it is "partial 16S ribosomal RNA". It matches the Rfam family "Bacterial small subunit ribosomal RNA", at positions 99 to 355 of the family's 1533-position model. Lineage: Bacteria; Bacillati; Actinomycetota; Actinomycetes; Bifidobacteriales; Bifidobacteriaceae. The record is from RNAcentral.